RNAcentral lists this ribosomal RNA (253 nucleotides) under uncultured bacterium. Its description in RNAcentral is "partial 16S ribosomal RNA". It matches the Rfam family "Bacterial small subunit ribosomal RNA", at positions 524 to 776 of the family's 1533-position model. The record is from RNAcentral.
UACGUAGGUGGCGAGCGUUGUCCGGAUUUACUGGGCGUAAAGGGCGCGUAGGCGGCGGGUCAAGUCGAGUGUGAAAGCCCCGGGCUCAACCUGGGAAUUGCGCUCGAGACUGGUCUGCUUGAGUUCGGGAGAGGAGAGUGGAAUUCCCAGUGUAGAGGUGAAAUUCGUAGAUAUUGGGAAGAACACCGGUGGCGAAGGCGGCUCUCUGGACCGAGACUGACGCUGAGGCGCGAAAGCGUGGGGAGCAAACAGG